This 79-nucleotide transfer RNA is filed under the name Nocardioides luteus. Its description in RNAcentral is "tRNA-Pro". Lineage: Bacteria; Bacillati; Actinomycetota; Actinomycetes; Propionibacteriales; Nocardioidaceae. The record is from RNAcentral.
UGAUCGGCGGCUGGGGCUAUGCGCUCGUCCGCUCGGGGCGGGUGUCGGUCGCUGCCUGGUCUCGACAGGCUCGACCAUC